RNAcentral lists this transfer RNA (77 nucleotides) under SAR202 cluster bacterium Io17-Chloro-G3. RNAcentral's name for it is "tRNA-Asp". It matches the Rfam family "tRNA". From Rfam's summary of the family: Transfer RNA (tRNA) molecules are approximately 80 nucleotides in length. The record is from RNAcentral. Lineage: Bacteria; Bacillati; Chloroflexota; Dehalococcoidia.
GGCCCGGUGGUGUAGCGGUUUAACACACUGGCCUGUCAAGCCAGAGAUCACGGGUUCGAAUCCCGUCCGGGUCGCCA